This 771-nucleotide ribosomal RNA is filed under the name uncultured bacterium. RNAcentral describes it as "bacterial SSU rRNA". It matches the Rfam family "Bacterial small subunit ribosomal RNA", at positions 28 to 776 of the family's 1533-position model. The record is from RNAcentral.
AACGAACGCUGGCGGCGUGCUUAACACAUGCAAGUCGAACGCGAAAGUUUUCUUCGGAGAGCGAGUAGAGUGGCGCACGGGUGAGUAACGCGUAGAUAACCUGUCUUUGUGUUUGGGAUAACCGGGCGAAAGUCUGACUAAUACCGGAUGUGCUUGUCUUUCAUAAGUUUGGCAAGUAAAGGUAGCCUCUGUCAUAAGCUAUCGCACGAAGAGGGGUCUGCGUACCAUUAGCUAGUAGGUGGGGUAAGGGCCUACCUAGGCAACGAUGGUUAGCGGGUCUGAGAGGAUGAUCCGUCACACUGGCACUGGAACACGGGCCAGACUCCUACGGGAGGCAGCAGUGAGGAAUAUUGCGCAAUGGGGGGAACCCUGACGCAGCGACGCCGCGUGAGUGAGGAAGGCCUUCGGGUCGUAAAGCUCUGUCAGAGGGGAAGAAGUGCACAGCGGUUAAGAGCCGUUGUGUUUGACGGUACCUUCAAAGGAAGCACCGGCUAACUCCGUGCCAGCAGCCGCGGUAAUACGGAGGGUGCGAGCGUUGUUCGGAAUCACUGGGCGUAAAGGGCGCGCAGGCGGCCAGGUAAGUCAGAUGUGAAAGCCCACGGCUUAACCGUGGAAGUGCAUUUGAAACUGCUUGGCUUGAGUACCAGAGGGGAGGGUGGAAUUCCCGGUGUAGAGGUGAAAUUCGUAGAUAUCGGGAGGAAUACCGGUGGCGAAGGCGACUUUCUGGCUGGAUACUGACGCUGAGGCGCGAAAGCGUGGGGAGCAAACAGG